CGGCCACGGUACCCUAACCGUGCGAAGGUAGCGUAAUCACCUGUUUUUUAAUUAAAGACCUGUAUGAAAGGCAUCACGAGAAUCACACUGUCUCCUUUCUCAGGUCAGUGAAACUAAUCUCCCCGUGAAAAAGCGAGGAUAACUCUACAAGACGAGAAGACCCUUUGGAGCUUAAGACAAAAUAAAUACCUGCCCCCCUAUAUCCCCACACCACACAACACGUUAUUUAUAAGUCUUGGGUUGGGGCAACCACGGAGUAAAAACAAACCUCCGAGCUGAACGGAAAUUUCCUAAACAAAAAGCAACAGCUUAAUGUAUCAGUAAACUGACACAAUUUGACCCAAUAAAUUUGAUUAACGAACCAAGUUACCCUAGGGAUAACAGCGCAAUCCACUUAAAGAGUUCAUAUCGAAAAGUGGGCUUACGACCUCGAUGUUGGAUCAAGGUACCCCGGUGGUGCAGCCGCUACCAAAGGUUCGUUUGUUCAACGAUUAAAACCU
RNAcentral lists this ribosomal RNA (500 nucleotides) under Eleutherodactylus adelus. RNAcentral describes it as "partial 16S ribosomal RNA". It matches the Rfam family "Bacterial large subunit ribosomal RNA", at positions 1928 to 2596 of the family's 2925-position model. Lineage: Eukaryota; Metazoa; Chordata; Amphibia; Anura; Eleutherodactylidae. The record is from RNAcentral.